UCUCAAUCUUUCCUUCCUAUGGUGAACACCGAAAAACUCUGGACCUCUAACACCUUCUGCUUCCGCAAAAUGCUCCUCUAAAGCACCAUUGACGAGUGCCAAUCUUCAGGUCAAGCUCGCCGAAGAAGCGAAGUCAGAACACUUCCAAGCCCCCUCCUCGUUCCGCGACUUUAGUUUAGACUUUUCUCCGACCCCCUUUUCAGCUAAUUGUGCGAUUGUUAAUUAGCAGUGGGGAAGAUAAUACUCUUGGCCAAAUCGCAUCCGAAACACUUGCGAUCUGGAGUAUUAACAGUGUUAGGGAUGGUCAGAACCGGCUUUCUUUGAGGAGCUAUGAAAUGCGAACAUAUUUUGACUGCAUUAAUUUGGUUGGAUGAAAGAAAAAAAGGAGAGGAGGUCUUCGGCUGAACGGAAAAAGGGAGGAGGUUUGGAGAAAGGAAAAAGAAAACAGAGCAAAAAGAGAGAGAGAGAGCCAGAGAGUAGACGGAAGAAAAAUUGAAAAAAGAGGGGUGGAAAAAGGGAAGAGCUUCGACAAGAAAACAGAGCAAAGGAAAACCAAGAAUCGAAGGAAUCAGCAAGGAGUUGCUGUUGCCGCUGCUGCCACCAGAAUCCACCACCACCACCUGCAAGUCCUCACCGCAAAAGCUUGGAUGACUUUCGAUUUUCAGAGCACAUCACCUCAAAAACUGCUAUUAAUAGGCAGUUAAACACACAAUAUCGAAAUCAUCGAUAUAGGCUUCACAAGUAUUUCCAGAGUUUUGAAUCAAGGCAAGAAGCAUUGAGGCAAGUUCCUGAAGGUGUGAGUGAAGAAGAUUGGAAGUGGCUGGUCAGCUACUUUGAAAAUGAUGAAUUUAAGAAAAUUAGUGAACGUAACAAGCAAAAUCGUGCCAAAAAUGACUGCUACACUACUGUUGGCACAAAAUCGCUUGCAAGAGUUGUUGAGGAAAAGAAAAGGAAAGAAGAUGUCGAGCUUUCAGAGAUAGACAUGUUAGUUAAGUCGAAAGUCAAAGAAGUCAGGGGGGCUGGUAAAUGACAAAGCAAAAGAGACCUUGGACAAAAUGAGGGAAUUGCAGGCUACAACUUCAAUGACUAGCAAGGAAAUAUGCGAGCAAGAACUUGGUUACGUACCUGGACACAUCCGCGGUCGUAGUGCAACCAAGAAGCAAGCUGCUGAGGUAGAACGCUGGAGGCAUGAGAUUGAGGACAGCCGAAAAAGAGCAGAUGAAGCAGAAAAACGAGCUGCAGAAGUAACUCAACAAUUCACUGCUCAGCAAGAGUUGAUUAAGACCUUGCAACAGCAACAAACAGAAACAAGAAGCCUAUAUGAUGAGUUAGCUAACCAGCUGAAAGACUUGCGCAAAUAAGCAACUUUUGUGUCAGGUUCUAACACGAUUCCCAAGAAGAAGAAGCCAGUCAUUGCUGUGAAGAUGGUUUUUGAAUUGAAGACUACAAGGCCUAUCGUGCUCAUGUUUUGUUCUAGAUGGGAAUCGUGCUCAUAUUUUUGUAUAGAACUUUACUACUCUCUAUUGUGGAUGGGAAAUCACUAGUAUUGUAACUGAAUGGCUUAUUUUGGAUGGUGCAUGGUUUAUGACUCAUUUGAGGCAACAUUUAUAUAUAUAUGUA
Molecule: long non-coding RNA, 1620 nt
Organism: Coffea eugenioides
Lineage: Eukaryota; Viridiplantae; Streptophyta; Magnoliopsida; Gentianales; Rubiaceae
Exons: 7
Source: RefSeq, a predicted model, not a curated record